RNAcentral lists this small RNA (80 nucleotides) under Methylocella tundrae. RNAcentral describes it as "suhB". It matches the Rfam family "Makes More Granules Regulator RNA (mmgR)". From Rfam's summary of the family: SuhB later renamed mmgR (makes more granules regulator) was a putative non-coding RNA found multiple times in the Agrobacterium tumefaciens genome and related alpha-proteobacteria. The record is from RNAcentral. Lineage: Bacteria; Pseudomonadati; Pseudomonadota; Alphaproteobacteria; Hyphomicrobiales; Beijerinckiaceae.
CGCCGAUGUCCCUUCGGGACAUUUCUCUCCCUAGACUUGGGCCGCCUGUGGCAACGCAAGCGGCUUUCUCUUUUGCUAUA